Molecule: ribosomal RNA, 789 nt
Filed under: uncultured bacterium
Lineage: Bacteria
Description: bacterial SSU rRNA
Rfam family: Bacterial small subunit ribosomal RNA
Source: RNAcentral
AGAGUUUGAUCCUGGCUCAGGAUGAACGCUGGCGGCGUGCCUAACACAUGCAAGUCGAGCGUGAUUGUUAUGAGUGGCGGCUUCGGUCAAAGCGAGUAACAUGAAAGCGGCGGACGGGUGAGUAACGCGUGGGCAACCUGCCCCAUACACGAGGAUAGCCACUGGAAACGGUGAUUAAUACUCGAUAAGACCACACUGCCACAUGGUAGAGCGGCCAAAGAUUUAUCGGUAUGGGAUGGGCCCGCGUCUGAUUAGCUAGUUGGUGAGGUAACGGCUCACCAAGGCGACGAUCAGUAACCGACCUGAGAGGGCGGACGGUCACACUGGAACUGAGACACGGUCCAGACUCCUACGGGAGGCAGCAGUGGGGAAUAUUGCACAAUGGGCGAAAGCCUGACGCAGCAACGCCGCGUGCGGGAUGAAGGCUCUCGGGUCGUAAACCGCUUUCAGCAGGGAUGAAACUGACAGUACCUGCAGAAGAAGCCCCGGCUAAAUACGUGCCAGCAGCCGCGGUAAUACGUAUGGGGCAAGCGUUAUCCGGAUUCAUUGGGCGUAAAGAGCGCGUAGGCGGAUUGUUAAGCGCGAUGUGAAAACUGGGGGCUCAACCCGCAGCCUGCAUCGCGAACUGGCAGUCUUGAGUCUGGUAGAGGAGUGUGGAAUUCCCAGUGUAGCGGUGAAAUGCGCAGAUAUUGGGAGGAACACCAGUGGCGAAGGCGGCACUCUGGGCCACGACUGACGCUGAGGCGCGAAAGCUAGGGGAGCAAACAGGAUUAGAUACCCUGGUAGUCC